Molecule: transfer RNA, 82 nt
Rfam family: tRNA
About the family: Transfer RNA (tRNA) molecules are approximately 80 nucleotides in length. Their secondary structure includes four short double-helical elements and three loops (D, anti-codon, and T loops). Further hydrogen bonds mediate the characteristic L-shaped molecular structure. tRNAs have two regions of fundamental functional importance: the anti-codon, which is responsible for specific mRNA codon recognition, and the 3' end, to which the tRNAs corresponding amino acid is attached (by aminoacyl-tRNA synthetases). tRNAs cope with the degeneracy of the genetic code in two manners: having more than one tRNA (with a specific anti-codon) for a particular amino acid; and 'wobble' base-pairing, i.e. permitting non-standard base-pairing at the 3rd anti-codon position.
GGCACAGUGGCAGAGUGGUCUAAUGCGUUAGACUCGAAAUCUAAUCUCCUCGGAGGCGCAUGUUCGAAUCAUGCCUGUGUCG